Small nucleolar RNA from Octodon degus (degu), 133 nucleotides. NCBI's taxonomy places the organism in Eukaryota, Metazoa, Chordata, Mammalia, Rodentia, Octodontidae. The record is from Ensembl.
AGUCUCACCCUAGAUAAGAAUGGUCACGAGCGGUGGGUGUCCAUGAUUGAUAAAUGUGGCUAAAGUGAGACACAGUAAGUGUUUCCCUCCCAGUAAAUGUACUUCAGCAAUGACAAUUUAGUCUGUAACAUUU